CCUACGGGGGGCAGCAGUGGGGAAUAUUGGACAAUGGGGGCAACCCUGAUCCAGCCAUGCCGCGUGUGUGAAGAAGGCCCUCGGGUUGUAAAGCACUUUCAGUGAGGAAGAACGCCUGGUGGUUAAUACCCAUCAGGAAAGACAUCACUCACAGAAGAAGCACCGGCUAACUCCGUGCCAGCAGCCGCGGUAAUACGGAGGGUGCGAGCGUUAAUCGGCAUUACUGGGCGUAAAGCGCGCGUAGGUGGCUUGAUAAGCCGGUUGUGAAAGCCCCGGGCUCAACCUGGGAACGGCAUCCGGAACUGUCAAGCUAGAGUGCAGGAGAGGAAGGUAGAAUUCCCGGUGUAGCGGUGAAAUGCGUAGAGAUCGGGAGGAAUACCAGUGGCGAAGGCGGCCUUCUGGACUGACACUGACACUGAGGUGCGAAAGCGUGGGUAGCAAACAGGAUUAGAUACCCCAGUAGUC
RNAcentral lists this ribosomal RNA (465 nucleotides) under Vreelandella stevensii. Its description in RNAcentral is "partial 16S ribosomal RNA". It matches the Rfam family "Bacterial small subunit ribosomal RNA", at positions 338 to 795 of the family's 1533-position model. Lineage: Bacteria; Pseudomonadati; Pseudomonadota; Gammaproteobacteria; Oceanospirillales; Halomonadaceae. The record is from RNAcentral.